This 660-nucleotide ribosomal RNA is filed under the name uncultured bacterium. RNAcentral describes it as "bacterial SSU rRNA". It matches the Rfam family "Bacterial small subunit ribosomal RNA", at positions 94 to 788 of the family's 1533-position model. The record is from RNAcentral.
AGUGGCGGACGGGUGAGUAACGCGUGAGAAUCUGCCUUGGGGUCGGGGACAACCACUGGAAACGGUGGCUAAUACCGGAUAAGCCGAUUGGUGAAAGAUUUAUUGCCCGAAGAGGAGCUCGCGUCUGAUUAGCUAGUUGGUGAGGUAGGAGCUCACCAAGGCAGCGAUCAGUAGCUGGUCUGAGAGGACGAUCAGCCACACUGGGACUGAGACACGGCCCAGACUCCUACGGGAGGCAGCAGUGGGGAAUUUUCCGCAAUGGGCGAAAGCCUGACGGAGCAAGACCGCGUGAGGGAGGAAGGCUCUUGGGUUGUAAACCUCUUUUCUCAGGGAAGAAGCUCUGACGGUACCUGAGGAAUCAGCCUCGGCUAACUCCGUGCCAGCAGCCGCGGUAAUACGGAGGAGGCAAGCGUUAUCCGGAAUUAUUGGGCGUAAAGCGUCCGCAGGUGGCGAUUCAAGUCUGCUGUCAAAGCACGGGGCUUAACUCCGUAAAGGCAGUGGAAACUGAAUAGCUAGAGUGCCGUAGGGGUAGAGGGAAUUCCCGGUGUAGCGGUGAAAUGCGUAGAGAUCGGGAAGAACAUCGGUGGCGAAAGCGCUCUAUUGGACGGCAACUGACACUCAGGGACGAAAGCUAGGGGAGCGAAUGGGAUUAGAUACCCC